UUUGACUGGGGCGGUCUCCUCCCAAAGCGUAACGGAGGAGCACGAAGGUUAGCUAAUCCUGGUCGGACAUCAGGAGGUUAGUGCAAUGGCAUAAGCUAGCUUGACUGCGAGCGUGACGGCGCGAGCAGGUGCGAAAGCAGGUCAUAGUGAUCCGGUGGUUCUGAAUGGAAGGGCCAUCGCUCAACGGAUAAAAGGUACUCCGGGGAUAACAGGCUGAUACCGCCCAAGAGUUCAUAUCGACGGCGGUGUUUGGCACCUCGAUGUCGGCUCAUCACAUCCUGGGGCUGAAGUAGGUCCCAAGGGUAUGGCUGUUCGCCAUUUAAAGUGGUACGCGAGCUGGGUUUAGAACGUCGUGAGACAGUUCGGUCCCUAUCUGCCGUGGGCGCUGGAGAAUUGAGGGGGGCUGCUCCUAGUACGAGAGGACCGGAGUGGACGCAUCACUGGUGUUCGGGUUGUCAUGCCAAUGGCACUGCCCGGUAGCUAAAUGCGGAAGAGAUAAGU
This 501-nucleotide ribosomal RNA is filed under the name Klebsiella pneumoniae. RNAcentral describes it as "partial 23S ribosomal RNA". It matches the Rfam family "Bacterial large subunit ribosomal RNA", at positions 2269 to 2769 of the family's 2925-position model. The record is from RNAcentral. Lineage: Bacteria; Pseudomonadati; Pseudomonadota; Gammaproteobacteria; Enterobacterales; Enterobacteriaceae.